AAGUCGUAACAAGGUUUCCGUAGGUGAACCUGCGGAAGGAUCAUUGUUGUAUAACCGAGGUGCGAGGGCUGUCGCUGACCCGAAAGGUCGUGCACGCCCGAGUGCCCUCACACACAUCCAUCUCACCCCUAUGUGCACCACCGCGUGGGUCCCCCUUUGGCUUGUUCGGAGGGGGGCUUACGUUUUCACACAAACUUUGUAUGCAGUGUAGAAUGUAUUUUUUGUUUUUGCGAUCACGCAAUCAAUACAACUUUCAACAACGGAUCUCUUGGCUCUCGCAUCGAUGAAGAACGCAGCGAAAUGCGAUACGUAAUGUGAAUUGCAGAAUUCAGUGAAUCAUCGAAUCUUUGAACGCACCUUGCGCCCCUUGGCAUUCCGAGGGGCACACCCGUUUGAGUGUCGUGAAAUUCUCAAAAACCUUUUUCUUUUUGGGAAAGGGUUUUUGGACUUGGAGGCUUUUUGCUGGCUUCACCUUGAAGUGAGCUCCUCCUAAAUGAAUCAGUGGGGUCCGCUUUGCCGAUCCUUGACGUGAUAAGAUGUUUCUGCGUCUUUGGGUUUGGCACUGUCACCUGCUUCUAACUGUCUCAUUGACAAUGAUGGUGCUCCGGUCACCACCGCUCUUAUCGGUGGGAGGCUUGACCCACAAAAACAAAACCUUGACCUCAAAUCGGGUGAGACUACCCGCUGAACUUAAGCAUAUCAAUAAGCGGAGGAAAAGAAACUAACAAGGAUUCCCCUAGUAACUGCGAGUGAAGCGGGAAAAGCUCAAAUUUAAAAUCUGGCGGUCUUUGGCUGUCCGAGUUGUAAUUUAGAGAA
This 816-nucleotide unclassified non-coding RNA is filed under the name uncultured Russula. RNAcentral describes it as "sequence contains ITS1, 5.8S rRNA gene and ITS2". The stretch from base 249 to 402 matches the Rfam family "5.8S ribosomal RNA". The record is from RNAcentral. Lineage: Eukaryota; Fungi; Basidiomycota; Agaricomycetes; Russulales; Russulaceae.